Ictidomys tridecemlineatus (thirteen-lined ground squirrel) is the source of this 121-nucleotide non-coding RNA. The record is from RefSeq and is a predicted model, not a curated record. NCBI's taxonomy places the organism in Eukaryota, Metazoa, Chordata, Mammalia, Rodentia, Sciuridae.
CAAAGCAAAACAUAAGAAAUGUUAUUGAAACAGAUAACUGUCCUGAUGUCUAAGAACCUUGCUUGAUGAGCAGACACUUGAGAUCCUAAUGAGAUCAGGAAUGUUUGCAACAUCAUCUGCA